AUGUUUCUUUGUACUGAUGUGUUUGUUGCUGCAGCAAACUUGUUACAAUAUCCAGUUCCAUUUAAGUUUAUUCCGUUUGGGAAUGGUAGUCAGAAUCCAAGCUAUCCAGAGCUUAUCAACAAUAUUCUCAUGAAUGUAAGUUUACUAUCUUAA
Molecule: ribosomal RNA, 153 nt
Filed under: Triticum aestivum (bread wheat)
Lineage: Eukaryota; Viridiplantae; Streptophyta; Magnoliopsida; Poales; Poaceae
Description: partial small subunit ribosomal RNA
Source: RNAcentral